GCUCGGUUGUUUAUCGACAGGUCCUCCUGGACGAUUGAGGGUAUAAGACUCUCCUUCAACAUGAAUGAGAUGACCAUUAGACUGACCACUGUGGCUUAAUGAACAAAGGCCUGCUGGUGCAGACACAGCCACUCGAGUUUGCAGCACAUCAGAUACGACUGGGUCCUGAUCGAGACCUGGAAAGAUACCAAACUACACCCGAGCUGGGAGGGACCAUUCUUAACCCUCCUGACUACUGAGACAGCCAUUCAAACUGCUGAGGAAGGGUGGAGUCAUCACACUCGCGUCAGAGGUCCUGUGAACGCCCCAUUGGCGGAGUGACACGCUCAUCCUACAGACAACCCUCUGAAAGUUAAUCUGAGAAAGAGGGAAUGAACUAAGGGUAUCAGUGCAGGGAUUUCUUAAGGUAAAGGCCCGGAAAUCUCAGUCACUUCAUCAACGAUCUUCCUGGCAUUAAAGGCUCACUCAUGGGGACGUUCGCUAUUGAUUGUAAAGUGUUCAGCAUCAUUUGCAACUCCUCAGAAAAUGAAUCAGUGUGUGUCCAAAUACAUCAGGAUCUGAACCACAGUCAGCCUUAGGCUGAUAGUGACAAGUUUUUAUGCCACACAAGUUUUCAAUAAUGGUCACUGCCAACAAGAGAGAAUCCAACCAUCUUUCCUUGAUGUGCAACUGUAUUACAAUUGCUGAAUUCCAAUCAAUCAACAUGCUCGGAGUAUUUAAUGGCAGAAAUUGAACUGAACCAGCCGUAUAACCAUCAUAGUUACACAAGCAGAUCAGAGGCAGGGAAUUCUUGGGCAAAUAACUCACUGCAUCUCUCCCUGAAGCCUGUCCAUUCCUGAUGAAGAGCUUAUGCUCUAAAUGUCGACUCUCCUCCUCCUCGGAUGCUGCCUGAC
Hemiscyllium ocellatum (epaulette shark) is the source of this 893-nucleotide long non-coding RNA. RefSeq lists it as uncharacterized. The transcript has 3 exons. The record is from RefSeq and is a predicted model, not a curated record. Lineage: Eukaryota; Metazoa; Chordata; Chondrichthyes; Orectolobiformes; Hemiscylliidae.